AGCUGAAGAUGAAACUUAAUGGAAGGAUUUCUUUUUUUUGAUGAACAACAGGUAAACCAAUUUUGUAAUAAACAAACAUGUAACUUUUGUAGAAAAACAACAAAUAUAAACAAUUAUUUCCUAGCAUUUUGAGCUACACUUAAUAUAUAACCAAUAUACUGUAACAAUGUUGAAUGCAAUGCCUAUUGCAACAGACGGAGGGGAUCAUUGAUAGAAUUAAAAGAGUCACACAGAUUGACAUGACAGAAUUAAGUAAUACAUCCUACAUUUUGGAAGUACUUACUCCUGAGGUAACCCUAUUAAUCCUAAAAAAGACAGAGGGCUUCCACAGGUUCCAGGCAGAAACGGCUUUGCAAACAAAGGGACAUUUGGGAGCAUCCACAGAUUCUGAUCCUGAAUGGUUUUGAUGACAAAGGGAUGCCUCCUGUUGCUGCACCACACAUUGUGCUAGUGUCUGGACUUUUCUCUGUGCCCCCUUCCCUGUUAUCUUUAUCAAAUUUGUUGAAUAAUACAGUCUAAAAAGUCACUUUGCAGAACUAAUAUAGUUACUUAUUUUGUACAGCAUAACCUUUUGAGUUUACCUUAAUGCCACAAUGUGUAGCCCAUUUUUUACAAUCAUAUUUUUUUUACAUUUUUUUCUCUUAAGGUGUCUGAGCCCAUAUUACAAUAAAUAAAUACAAAUAAAAACUAAUGCUGUUUCAGUGUUGUUGAAUGACACAAACAUUUAAAGAAAUGUUUUAUAAAGACUGUAAAAAUCUUAUUAACUUACUAAACUAGUACUUAAAAAGAUCCUUAAACAAUAUUUCACAGACCACAAUGUGAUUUUACCUGUUCAAUUUACUCACCUUGGCUGUGACAUG
Megalobrama amblycephala (Wuchang bream) is the source of this 860-nucleotide long non-coding RNA. RefSeq lists it as uncharacterized. The record is from RefSeq and is a predicted model, not a curated record. NCBI's taxonomy places the organism in Eukaryota, Metazoa, Chordata, Actinopteri, Cypriniformes, Xenocyprididae. The transcript has 3 exons.